UACGUAGGUGGCAAGCGUUGUCCGGAAUCAUUGGGCGUAAAGCGCGCGUAGGCGGCCUUGUAAGUCCGUUGUGAAAGUCAAAGGCUCAACCUUUGAAAGCCGAUGGAUACUGUGAGGCUAGAGUCCGGAAGAGGCGAGUGGAAUUCCUGGUGUAGCGGUGGAAUGCGCAGAUAUCAGGAGGAACACCAAUAGCGAAGGCAGCUCGCUGGGACGGUACUGACGCUAAGGCGCGAAAGCGUGGGGAGCGAACAGG
RNAcentral lists this ribosomal RNA (253 nucleotides) under uncultured bacterium. RNAcentral describes it as "partial 16S ribosomal RNA". It matches the Rfam family "Bacterial small subunit ribosomal RNA", at positions 524 to 776 of the family's 1533-position model. The record is from RNAcentral.